Molecule: small RNA, 62 nt
Filed under: Chaetoceros cf. neogracilis
Lineage: Eukaryota; Bacillariophyta; Thalassiosirophyceae; Chaetocerotales; Chaetocerotaceae
Description: partial Betaproteobacteria transfer-messenger RNA
Source: RNAcentral
GAUGAAAUUAAAUGUGCAAUGAUCCCAAUUCCAAUGAUGAUUUUUGCGCUUAUGCCGCUUAG